CACUGUUUCUCGCUAUAAACAGUCGAUCAGGUCUACGAAGGUGGUGGAAAGAAACGUCUGGUGGCGAGACUGCGAUCCAAACACCCACCGAAACAGUCCAGGCCCUGGAAAUGCAAGGUCCACAUUUUCACGGGAGUAUGCUGAUUCCAACAUUUGACUGAAUUGUCAGAUCAUGUAAAUAAUUGUGGUUGUUGGUUGCUGGGAGCCGCAACCUACAAGGUGAGUACAAGUACUUUCAUUAGGAUGCUUGUUUUAAAUACAGUAGCUAGCCUACGUCUUCUGUUGUGACUCGAAUAGCCUGUUUUGACAAUCUGGCGAGUCGCCACUGAAAACCUCAACACAGCACCUACGGAAAUAAUCGCAGUUUACGGUAAGCAACGUAAUGAGAUUGUAGUACAUUAUUUAUAUAGAUCGAAAGCUACAGGC
Molecule: unclassified non-coding RNA, 426 nt
Filed under: Yarrowia lipolytica
Lineage: Eukaryota; Fungi; Ascomycota; Dipodascomycetes; Dipodascales
Source: RNAcentral